This 230-nucleotide ribosomal RNA is filed under the name uncultured bacterium. RNAcentral's name for it is "partial 16S ribosomal RNA". It matches the Rfam family "Bacterial small subunit ribosomal RNA", at positions 562 to 791 of the family's 1533-position model. The record is from RNAcentral.
AAAGAGCGCGCAGGCGGUUUUACAAGUCAGAUGUGAAAGAGGCCGGCUUAACCGGCAAGGGUCAUUUGAAACUGUAAGACUAGAGUGCAGCAGAGGAUAGUGGAAUUCCCGGUGUAGUGGUGAAAUGCGUAGAUAUCGGGAGGAACACCAGUGGCGAAGGCGACUAUCUGGGCUGCAACUGACGCUGAGGCGCGAAGGCUAGGGUAGCAAACAGGAUUAGAUACCCCAGU